AUGUUUUGUUCUUUGGCACAUAAUAGGUGUACAGCCUCUUAUAUAUUCUUUCAUUCUUGAGUUCCAUUCCCUGUAUUAUACACUUUAUUAAUCACAUUUGUUCUUCUCUAACAGCCGAAGAAAGGCAAAUUGAAUUCAUUGGCAAAAGUGCAGGUUGGAGAUACAGUAAAGAAGAGUGAGGGUAAAAAGACUAACAGAGAGCCAUAAUGGAAGAAGAGGAUCCAGUUGCUAAUAAAGAACCCAUUUGGGGACAAAAUGAAGUUGAAGGUACGAAAUGAGAACAAUUAAAUUCUGGGAAGUGUCUCUGUGCCCCUGUUGAACAUAAUGGCUGCCAAGGAUAUGACCAUUGAGGACUGGUUCCCCCUGAAGUCCAAAGCAAAGAACAAUUUUGGCCCCUCGCACUUUUCGUGUGAAGCCAUGGAACCAAAAACCAAAAUCGCCAAGCUCUGCUGGGCACUGCAGCAACCAGCAGGCAAGUCAAGAUCAGCUUGGUUGCUAUGAGCAAGUAGACCUGGCACAAACACAGGGCACUUAAAAGGAUGAAGGAAGAGGACGAUUUAAUACAAAUAUGAAGUUUUUAUAAUUGAAGCCAAAUAUUCUGGUUCACAACAUAUGAAGUUCAGCUUAAGACAAAUUCAGACUUUCUCACCAUAAAUGUUAUGGGUUUUGCUCUGGAAAUCAGAAAUGCCCAGAGGGAAGGAUGUGUUGCCUUCUGCUUCCUUCCUCCAUAACAACUCUAAAUUGUGUACUCCAUGAUGUGCCAUUGGGGAUAAAGUGACCCCGCCUAGCCCUGUGGUAAAGGAGGGUCUGAAGACAUAUGCCCCUGAUGUACCUUCUAGCUGGGGAUAAAGGGACCUUCACUAGCCUUGCUGUGAAGUAGGGUCUAAAGACAUUUUCCCCUAAUGUGCCCUUGGGAAUAAAGGGACCCUCCCUAGCCUUGCAGCUAAGGAGGGUAGAAGACACUUGCCCUGGAUGUGCCAUUCAGGAUAAAGGGACCCUUCCUAGACUUGCAGUGAAGGAGGGUCUAAAGACACUCGCCCCUGAUGUGCCAUUGAGGAAAAAUAAGCUGCCCUAGGCCCGGGUCUUUGUGGCCUUUCCACAAAUCCGGGCCUAGGGAGGGGGACAAAAUGAUCACUUUGAAUGGAAACUGAAACUGCCUCUUGCAUGACAUGUAUUUAUUGCUUAAAAUGUCAGUGCUAGGUGCAAUAAGCCCCUGUCAUUUGACACCUGCAGCUGAAAAUUCCCAUAGACUCCAAUGUAUUGCAAAAAGAGUUGCAUCCCUGACAUUUGCCAGCAACAUAACACGGAACACAAUACAGUUAUUACAGGACUGACAGUAGUUUAUAGUACAUAGCCCCAAAGCCCCAAAAAUGGACCCAAAGUAAGUAUUAAUAAAGGACUCAACAGGCCAAACAACCCACUAGCAAUAGGCAUAGCUUCAAGGAACUGUACCUGCUACAUAAUCUAUGCCUUAUACAGGGUCCCAGAACAGCAACUUCUCCCCCAUGACCUUUUAUGCCACGUCUGUCCUACAUUAAUAGCCUCUCUACAAACAAGGGACCCCUGGGAGCUCCUACAGCUUGACUCUUGACCAUAAUUGGCUCUGUAUCUGUAGUGUGCUAAUAGUUUGUUCUGAUGGGGUUUUCCAAAAGACGCCAGGUCUGAAGCCAUAACCGAGGACACGGAUAUCCCUAUGGGCACCAGUCAUUCUGGGACAGCUCUGAUGAUGAACAUGAACUGCCCUGCACAUUUUCAGUGCUAAGUAAAUCCACUUCCACCAAUGAAAUGCAAUAUGACGGAUGCAAAUAAAGAGAAAGUGUUUCCUUUGACAGAAGCAUAAGCAGAUCAAUAGCAAGAUAUUUGGCUCUCCAAAUAAAGGAUUUCACACUUUCAAAUAUAUAGAGGUUUUUUUUUACUCUUUUUUUAUUUUUAAAUCUAUAUGUGUAGCUGUUAUAAAGCACAGUGGUGCCUAUAAUUCCAGGCUUCUAGCUCCAAUGUGCUAAUUAUGCCUAUUAAGUGAGUGAAAUGUAUGGCGCGGAGAUCAGGGAUAUAAGUCAGCCUUUCAUUUAAAAGGUGACAUUGACCAGGUUUAAAGUAGCAACACAUUUCACUAAGGAAGCAACUGGCACAAUGGGUCUAAAUUCGAAUUUUAAACCCUAAGGAAAAUGAAUCAUAUUCUUCUACUGGAGAAAGGCCAACAUUCCUCCCAUUAAUGCUCUCUGAACUCUUAUGGGCUCUUAUGGGACCCUCGGCCCCACUGGAUCUGUGCAACCUGAAGGAACAAUAACAUCAAGGACUGUAGUCUGUGACUUGGCAACACAUGGACUUUCUGUGGGGCAACUCUUAUGAACUUGAAAUGGCAUCAAUAUCUUGUGUUAAUUGCUUAAAAAAAUUACUAGAAAAUCAUAUCCCUGAACUCUAGAUUGUCUUGCCAGAUAAAUAUGCCAUGUUAUGGUUUAUGGGCCAUGAAGGCCUAAUACAGUGACUGUGCCCACAACUGUAUCUCACCAUGUCAUUCCAUGCUUCCCAUCUGGUGUCCAGUAAACAGCAAUGUCAUAGUUUGAAAUCUUUCUGUGGCCAGAAGAUGUUCAGAGUCCUCCUCAGACUUGUGGUAUGGCAGGCUGGCAGUUUGGCUAGGUCACUUUCUGUCAUGUGCUUGAACGCUGAGCCAUAAAGCAGUGUUGACAAGAUACAACUUUGGUACAGGCUUAGAUUGGUGUUAAUUCUGUAGUGGGUGGACUUGCAAAAUUCCAAGCUCUCAUGAUGUUUCUGGCUUUGCUGAGUCUUCUGAGGUUGUAUUCAGUGUCACCAUCUAUUCGCACAAUACAACCAAGGUAAGUGAAACAUUUUGUAAAUGGCUGUACUUUGCCAUUAAUCUUCAGUUGCUUGUGUUUCCUAGUCCAUAAUUUCAGUUUUCAUUGUUGCAUCAACCCUUCUGCCAUAGUUUCAACAAUAUACAGUACAGAAUAUAAGUGUUCACCCCCAAAUCCAACUAUUUGACCUUCUUGCUAAGCUUCCAUGACUAUCGGAAGAGCAGUUGGACAUUUUCCCUAUAUCACACCAUAACUGGAUGAGCCCCCUAACCUUUAUGCAAGGGGGGCAGCCCAACAGUUUGGGAACCACUUACCAUAAUAGUUUUUAUUUGAUUGAGAUCAAAUCUAAAUCUUAUAUAAAUGCUAUGGUUUUAGUGCAAACUUACAUAGGAACAUACAUAUUAACACAGUAAAUAAGGCUUAGAUGGACUUAUGUCCAUAAAAAUCAACAUUCGUUUACUCAGCAAGCCUACCAGUUGAACCAGAGGGAAGGUUCACAACUUCCUUGUUGAUCUCUUGACAAAUCACCUAACUCACCUGUUUCAGCCAAACUACACUUAAAAGCUUAAGUUAAGGUUCAAUUUGGUGAUUGCAAUGAAAAUUCCCAUUGACUCCAAUGUAUUUUGCUUGUAAAAAGUUGCCAUGAAAAAACACCCAUUGACUUCAAUGAGUUUUGCAAAUUUUCACAGAUUAUUGGGGAUCAGCAUUGUGACCAAAGAAUUGGUUUAUGAUGGAUUAAUUUCAUUUAUCUGUUGUUGGAAGAAAUGUCUCUGUAGGGGAUCAUGGGGACCCGCAAUAAACUGCAUGGGGGCCAGUAGAGCAGGAUGACAUUUAUAUUUGGGGAGGCUACCAAUAGAAGGCUCUCCAUUGGGGUACUUCUAUAUAAAUAUAUAGCAAUCAGUGUCUCUCUAUAGUGACUAAGCUGCCUUAAUCUCUACCUAUGAUGAAGACCCAUUUUGGGCCCCAGCCUUUAUGUCAAGAAUCCCUUUUUAAAGGAACACUGUUAUCGGUACUUUUAUUCUGAAGGACUUGAGAAUGGCAAGAGAUCUGGGAUUUGGCACCUUCUUGUACAAUAGCAACAUGGCAGCAUGCCAUGGGCUCCAUCUGGAAAGCUAUGCAGUUAUUACAGGAUAGA
This is a long non-coding RNA of Xenopus tropicalis (tropical clawed frog), 3948 nucleotides long. RefSeq lists it as uncharacterized. Lineage: Eukaryota; Metazoa; Chordata; Amphibia; Anura; Pipidae. The record is from RefSeq and is a predicted model, not a curated record. The transcript is spliced from 4 exons.